Molecule: non-coding RNA, 46 nt
Organism: Salmo salar (Atlantic salmon)
Lineage: Eukaryota; Metazoa; Chordata; Actinopteri; Salmoniformes; Salmonidae
Source: Rfam
CCAAAGGCUCUUUUAAGAGCAAUCCACAUUGCAAUAAGAGUAUUCU